GAGAGCGAGAGCGAGAGAGAGAGAGAGAGAGAGAGAGAGAGAGAGUCAGAGUUAGGGUUUUCAGCGACUCCGAGAUGCCAGAAAGCUGCCCCGAUAGCCAGUACGGGACGCCGAACAGAGACGUCUUGUGUAUCUGGACGUUGUCUCUCAACAUGUAGCAGCCUAGGAAAGCGCCGACAGUAGCAAACCCAUAGCCAACUCGUCUGAGUACCUACAACAAGCAAAUCAAGAUGACUGGUCAUUCAUGAUUUAACGCUGCAAAAACGAACUUGUUAUAAUUUUAAUACGAUAAUUUUGUCAUGUACCAGUUACCAUUGUGUAGAGAGGGAUCUACGUGUUGGGGAACAGGUGACACUUACCAUUGUGUAGAGAGGGAUCCACGUGUUGGGAAACAGGUGACACUUACCAUUGUGUAGAGAGGGAUCCACGUGUUGGGGAACAGGUGACACUUACCAUUGUGUAGAGAGGGAUCCACGUGUUGGGGAACAGGUGACACUUACCAUUGUGUAGAGAGGGAUCUACGUGUUGGGGAACAGGUGACACUUACCAUUGUGUAGAGAGGGAUCCACGUGUUGGGGAACAGGUGACACUUACCAUUGUGUAGAGAGGGAUCCACGUGUUGGGAAACAGGUGACACU
Gigantopelta aegis is the source of this 638-nucleotide long non-coding RNA. RefSeq lists it as uncharacterized. NCBI's taxonomy places the organism in Eukaryota, Metazoa, Mollusca, Gastropoda, Neomphalida, Peltospiridae. The transcript has 3 exons. The record is from RefSeq and is a predicted model, not a curated record.